UGAAUGAACUUGCUUCUCCUGAUUCUAUGAUAAUACUAUAUGCAAAUGGAUUUUCUAGAGUUUUUCUUUCUUUUUCUUGCUUUGGGUGUAGUGUGCCAUCGCCCCAGUUCUCUUCCUGUUCUGAUUGUAGUGUGCCAUCGACCUAGUUUUCUUUCUUUUUCUUUCUUUUUCACUAAUCUGGUUUUUGGGGCUUAUAAAAAAAACUAAUCUGGUUUUUGGGAAGGUGAUAAUGUGUUAUAUCAUCUUUGCUUAUCAAAUAAAACUUGCAGUUAGUUGGGGACUUGGAUUGAACAUUCAUGUUAUUUCAUUUUCUUGCUUUUUUGUAAGUUUGUAAUAUCUCAGAUUCUCAUUGGUUCUAAUACAUAAAGUAAAUAUUUAAUAAGCACUAACUUAGUGAGUUUGGUUAAAAGGAAAAAUAGGGAACCAUGCAUAUAGUCUUCAAUGAUGGGAUAAGUUCUCUUUCCUCUAAACUAUGCUUGUGUUUACAGGUUUUUUGGUGGAUGAGAGUAUGAAUGAGUUGCAAACUCUUUUACAUGGUUUUUAAAUUUCUCCCGCAAAUGGUCACUUGUUGAUGCUCUUAAGUCAAAUACUUUGAUCUUUUGCCUAAGAAUAUGGACAUCCGUCAAAUUCGCGGUUGGAUGUAUAAUAGAACCAUAACUAGCCAAAGGGAACAUACAAGUGCAUUUUUGAGGGAGACUCAAAGAAUGGUAAAACAAAUGAUGGAAGAAAUGAUGCAACAACCACCAAUGCCAACCCCAAAUCAAGAGGAGUUAGAAACUGAUGAGUCAGAGAAUGAGGAGGAUCUUGGUGCUUUUCCAUGAAAACUUUGUCAAGCUUUGUUUCUAUAUUUAAUGUAAUAGACUAUGUUUAAUGUAAUAGUAAUCUACUAGACUAGUUUAAGUAGUUCAUGGUAUACUUUUUGUGAUGAUUCAGUGAUGAAUUUAGGUGGAUAUGUUAAGAUUGUGUGUUUUGUGA
Molecule: long non-coding RNA, 975 nt
Organism: Lotus japonicus
Lineage: Eukaryota; Viridiplantae; Streptophyta; Magnoliopsida; Fabales; Fabaceae
Exons: 2
Source: RefSeq, a predicted model, not a curated record